Molecule: ribosomal RNA, 2015 nt
Filed under: Pseudomonas sp. NFPP19
Lineage: Bacteria; Pseudomonadati; Pseudomonadota; Gammaproteobacteria; Pseudomonadales; Pseudomonadaceae
Description: bacterial LSU rRNA
Rfam family: Bacterial large subunit ribosomal RNA
Source: RNAcentral
UCUGAAUGGGGGAACCCAGCCAUCAUAAGAUGGUUAUCUUGUACUGAAUACAUAGGUGCAAGAGGCGAACCAGGGGAACUGAAACAUCUAAGUACCCUGAGGAAAAGAAAUCAACCGAGAUUCCCUUAGUAGUGGCGAGCGAACGGGGACUAGCCCUUAAGUGGCUUUGAGAUUAGCGGAACGCUCUGGAAAGUGCGGCCAUAGUGGGUGAUAGCCCUGUACGCGAAAAUCUCUUAGUCAUGAAAUCGAGUAGGACGGGGCACGAGAAACCUUGUCUGAAUAUGGGGGGACCAUCCUCCAAGGCUAAAUACUACUGACUGACCGAUAGUGAACUAGUACCGUGAGGGAAAGGCGAAAAGAACCCCGGAGAGGGGAGUGAAAUAGAUCCUGAAACCGUAUGCGUACAAGCAGUGGGAGCAGACUUUGUUCUGUGACUGCGUACCUUUUGUAUAAUGGGUCAGCGACUUAUUUUCAGUGGCAAGCUUAACCGAAUAGGGGAGGCGUAGCGAAAGCGAGUCUUAAUAGGGCGUCUAGUCGCUGGGAAUAGACCCGAAACCGGGCGAUCUAUCCAUGGGCAGGUUGAAGGUUAGGUAACACUGACUGGAGGACCGAACCGACUACCGUUGAAAAGUUAGCGGAUGACCUGUGGAUCGGAGUGAAAGGCUAAUCAAGCUCGGAGAUAGCUGGUUCUCCUCGAAAGCUAUUUAGGUAGCGCCUCAUGUAUCACUGUAGGGGGUAGAGCACUGUUUCGGCUAGGGGGUCAUCCCGACUUACCAAACCGAUGCAAACUCCGAAUACCUACAAGUGCCGAGCAUGGGAGACACACGGCGGGUGCUAACGUCCGUCGUGAAAAGGGAAACAACCCAGACCGUCAGCUAAGGUCCCAAAGUUAUGGUUAAGUGGGAAACGAUGUGGGAAGGCUUAGACAGCUAGGAGGUUGGCUUAGAAGCAGCCACCCUUUAAAGAAAGCGUAAUAGCUCACUAGUCGAGUCGGCCUGCGCGGAAGAUGUAACGGGGCUCAAACCAUACACCGAAGCUACGGGUAUCACGUAAGUGAUGCGGUAGAGGAGCGUUCUGUAAGCCUGUGAAGGUGAGUUGAGAAGCUUGCUGGAGGUAUCAGAAGUGCGAAUGCUGACAUGAGUAACGACAAUGGGUGUGAAAAACACCCACGCCGAAAGACCAAGGUUUCCUGCGCAACGUUAAUCGACGCAGGGUUAGUCGGUCCCUAAGGCGAGGCUGAAAAGCGUAGUCGAUGGAAAACAGGUUAAUAUUCCUGUACUUCUAGUUAUUGCGAUGGAGGGACGGAGAAGGCUAGGCCAGCUUGGCGUUGGUUGUCCAAGUUUAAGGUGGUAGGCUGGAAUCUUAGGUAAAUCCGGGGUUCUAAGGCCGAGAGCUGAUGACGAGUUACCUUUUAGGUGACGAAGUGGUUGAUGCCAUGCUUCCAAGAAAAGCUUCUAAGCUUCAGAUAACUAGGAACCGUACCCCAAACCGACACAGGUGGUUGGGUAGAGAAUACCAAGGCGCUUGAGAGAACUCGGGUGAAGGAACUAGGCAAAAUGGCACCGUAACUUCGGGAGAAGGUGCGCCGGUGAGGGUGAAGGACUUGCUCCGUAAGCUCAUGCCGGUCGAAGAUACCAGGCCGCUGCGACUGUUUAUUAAAAACACAGCACUCUGCAAACACGAAAGUGGACGUAUAGGGUGUGACGCCUGCCCGGUGCCGGAAGGUUAAUUGAUGGGGUUAGCUAACGCGAAGCUCUUGAUCGAAGCCCCGGUAAACGGCGGCCGUAACUAUAACGGUCCUAAGGUAGCGAAAUUCCUUGUCGGGUAAGUUCCGACCUGCACGAAUGGCGUAACGAUGGCGGCGCUGUCUCCACCCGAGACUCAGUGAAAUUGAAAUCGCUGUGAAGAUGCAGUGUAUCCGCGGCUAGACGGAAAGACCCCGUGAACCUUUACUAUAGCUUUGCACUGGACUUUGAAUUUGCUUGUGUAGGAUAGGUGGGAGGCUUUGAAGCGUG